RNAcentral lists this ribosomal RNA (937 nucleotides) under Escherichia coli. RNAcentral describes it as "partial 23S ribosomal RNA". It matches the Rfam family "Bacterial large subunit ribosomal RNA", at positions 460 to 1396 of the family's 2925-position model. Lineage: Bacteria; Pseudomonadati; Pseudomonadota; Gammaproteobacteria; Enterobacterales; Enterobacteriaceae. The record is from RNAcentral.
CCAAGGCUAAAUACUCCUGACUGACCGAUAGUGAACCAGUACCGUGAGGGAAAGGCGAAAAGAACCCCGGCGAGGGGAGUGAAAAAGAACCUGAAACCGUGUACGUACAAGCAGUGGGAGCACGCUUAGGCGUGUGACUGCGUACCUUUUGUAUAAUGGGUCAGCGACUUAUAUUCUGUAGCAAGGUUAACCGAAUAGGGGAGCCGAAGGGAAACCGAGUCUUAACUGGGCGUUAAGUUGCAGGGUAUAGACCCGAAACCCGGUGAUCUAGCCAUGGGCAGGUUGAAGGUUGGGUAACACUAACUGGAGGACCGAACCGACUAAUGUUGAAAAAUUAGCGGAUGACUUGUGGCUGGGGGUGAAAGGCCAAUCAAACCGGGAGAUAGCUGGUUCUCCCCGAAAGCUAUUUAGGUAGCGCCUCGUGAAUUCAUCUCCGGGGGUAGAGCACUGUUUCGGCAAGGGGGUCAUCCCGACUUACCAACCCGAUGCAAACUGCGAAUACCGGAGAAUGUUAUCACGGGAGACACACGGCGGGUGCUAACGUCCGUCGUGAAGAGGGAAACAACCCAGACCGCCAGCUAAGGUCCCAAAGUCAUGGUUAAGUGGGAAACGAUGUGGGAAGGCCCAGACAGCCAGGAUGUUGGCUUAGAAGCAGCCAUCAUUUAAAGAAAGCGUAAUAGCUCACUGGUCGAGUCGGCCUGCGCGGAAGAUGUAACGGGGCUAAACCAUGCACCGAAGCUGCGGCAGCGACGCUUAUGCGUUGUUGGGUAGGGGAGCGUUCUGUAAGCCUGUGAAGGUGUGCUGUGAGGCAUGCUGGAGGUAUCAGAAGUGCGAAUGCUGACAUAAGUAACGAUAAAGCGGGUGAAAAGCCCGCUCGCCGGAAGACCAAGGGUUCCUGUCCAACGUUAAUCGGGGCAGGGUGAGUCGACCCCUAAGG